CAAUCGCGUAUGUUAAGGUUAUUGUGGUUUUAAAUAAAGCUUGUAGUUGGAAUUUCUGCUGAGGAUGACCGGUCCGCCUUCUGGGUGUGCAUGUGGCUCAGCCUCAGGCCUGACAUCUUCCUAAAGAGCGUGUCUGCGCUUCAUUGUCAUUGUGUGCUGUGGUAUGUCGGACAUUUACUUUGAGGCAACUAGAGUGUCUCAAGCAAAUGCGAUUGCCUUGAAUACAUUAGCAUGGAAUAAUAAACAUAGGACCUCAGUUCUAUUGUGUUGGUUUCUAGAGGUCAGGUCAUGGUCGACAGGGAUUUUGGGGGCCUUCCUGUUUAACUGUCAGUGAUGAAAUUCUUGGGUUUGUUAAAGACGGACUACUGCGAAAGCAUUUGCCAAGAAUGUUUUCAUUGG
This 399-nucleotide ribosomal RNA is filed under the name uncultured eukaryote. Its description in RNAcentral is "partial 18S ribosomal RNA". It matches the Rfam family "Eukaryotic small subunit ribosomal RNA", at positions 592 to 976 of the family's 1831-position model. The record is from RNAcentral.